Molecule: long non-coding RNA, 179 nt
Organism: Juglans microcarpa x Juglans regia
Lineage: Eukaryota; Viridiplantae; Streptophyta; Magnoliopsida; Fagales; Juglandaceae
Exons: 2
Source: RefSeq, a predicted model, not a curated record
GGCUACGCAUCCAUGGCAGCACAGGCACACUUCUCAGCUUUUGCUCCUCCAUUCUAAACCUCUUCAACCUCUUCAAACCUGUCACUAGGGUUUUAGAAAGUUUUUGUUGAAUUGUCACGCCCAGCGUCUUACCGAUCUUGCGGCGGUGGCUGGCUGGAUUUGGUGACGGGGAAGUGCAA